This is a long non-coding RNA of Erinaceus europaeus (western European hedgehog), 337 nucleotides long. RefSeq lists it as uncharacterized. NCBI's taxonomy places the organism in Eukaryota, Metazoa, Chordata, Mammalia, Eulipotyphla, Erinaceidae. The record is from RefSeq and is a predicted model, not a curated record. The transcript is spliced from 3 exons.
CGUCUUUGCCCCCAGGUCUCCCCGUCUUUGCCCCCAGGUCUCUCCCCGUCUUUGCCCCCAGGUCUCUCCCCGUCUUUGUCCCCAGGUCUCCCCGUCUUUGCCCCCAGGUCUCCCCGUCUUUGCCCCCAGGUCUCCCCGUCUUUGCCCCCAGGUGUCUCCCCGUCUUUGUCCCCAGGUGUCUCCCCGUCUUUGUCCCCAGGUCUCCCCGUCUUUGCCCCCAGGUCUCCCCGUCUUUGCCCCCAGGUCUCCCCGUCUUUGCCCCCAGGUGUCUCCCCGUCUUUGCCCCCAGGUGUCUCCCCGUCUUUGCCCCCAGGUCUCCCCGUCUUUGCCCCCAGGU